CAAUAGCGUAUAUUAAAGCUGUUGCGGUUAAAAAGCUCGUAGUUGGAUUUCUGUCAAGGACAGCUGGUCCGCCCUCCGGGUGAGCACAUAGUUUGGUCUUGGCAUCUUGCUGGAAGCUGUUGCUGCACUUGGCUGUGUGGCGCAGCGUCCAGCACUUUCACUUUGAGGAAAUUGGAGUGUUUCAAGCAGGCACAUGCCUUUGGACACAGUAGCAUGGAAUAAUUAGAUUGGGCUUUUGCUCCAAUUUGUCGGUUUCUGGAGCUGAGGUGAGAAUUAAUGGGGAUUGUUGGGGGCAUCCGAAUUUAGCCGUCAGAGGUGAAAUUCUUGGAUCUGCUAAAGACGGACAACUGCGAAAGCGUUUGCCCAGGAUGUUUUCAUUGA
RNAcentral lists this ribosomal RNA (381 nucleotides) under uncultured eukaryote. RNAcentral describes it as "partial 18S ribosomal RNA". It matches the Rfam family "Eukaryotic small subunit ribosomal RNA", at positions 592 to 976 of the family's 1831-position model. The record is from RNAcentral.